RNAcentral lists this ribosomal RNA (253 nucleotides) under uncultured bacterium. RNAcentral's name for it is "partial 16S ribosomal RNA". It matches the Rfam family "Bacterial small subunit ribosomal RNA", at positions 524 to 776 of the family's 1533-position model. The record is from RNAcentral.
UACGGAGGGGGCGAGCGUUAUUCGGAUUUAUUGGGCGUAAAGGGCGCGUAGGCGGCUUUUUAAGUCAGAUGUGAAAGCCCGGGGCUUAACCCCGGAAGUGCAUUUGAAACUGAGAGGCUUGAGUAUGGGAGAGGGAAGUGGAAUUCCUGGUGUAGAGGUGAAAUUCGUAGAUAUCAGGAGGAACACCGGUGGCGAAGGCGACUUCCUGGACCAAUACUGACGCUGAGGCGCGAAGGGGUGGGGAGCAAACAGG